AGAGUUUGAUUCUGGCUCAGGAUGAACGCUAGCGGCAGGCCUAAUACAUGCAAGUCGAACGGUAAACACCCUUCGGGGUGUUGAGAGUGGCGGACGGGUGCGCAACGCGUAUGCAACCCACCCCGACGGGCGCACAGCCGGUGGAAACGCCGGGUAAUGCGCCAUGCGACCCGCGCGGGGCAUCCCGUGCGGGCCAAAGCGGCGACGCGGUCGGGGACGGGCAUGCGUCCCAUUAGAUGGUAGGCGGGGUGACGGCCCACCUAGUCGACGAUGGGUAGGGGAUCUGAGAGGACGGUCCCCCACACUGGUACUGAGACACGGACCAGACUCCUGCGGGAGGCAGCAGUAAGGGAUAUUGGGCAAUGGGGGUAACCCUGACCCAGCCAUGCCGCGUGAGGGAAUGAGGCCCUACGGGUCGUGAACCUCUUUUAUUCGGGGACAAGGACGGCGUCGCGAACGCUGUUUGAGGGUACCGAAGGAAUAAGCGUCGGCUAACUCCGUGCCAGCAGCCGC
Molecule: ribosomal RNA, 513 nt
Filed under: uncultured bacterium
Lineage: Bacteria
Description: bacterial SSU rRNA
Rfam family: Bacterial small subunit ribosomal RNA
Source: RNAcentral